UUCAAAAAAAGACUUAUCGUCUUCCUCCUCUUUACCGAGGAGUAGUUUAAACUUGGGGGUUCAUUCUCUCUCGGGGUACGCUUGAGCCGCGGUCUCCCGAUCCUCCUCCUCCUCCCCUGAAUCUCCUCCCUCCUCCCCGGAAAAGUCCCCUUCUUCCUCAGAGGGAGUGUCUUCCUCCAGGACCUGGGGGGCGGGGGGGGUGUUGCGGGAGAUCAAGAGUUUCAGAAGAUGUCAUGGGGUUCGCACGGGGGGGCAGUGGGUUCCUGCCCUUCUGCCACUGAGGAAAAGCCGUCACCUCCCCUGAGCGCCUGCAAAAGUGUACGUACAAGAGAUUCUGGGUAUUUCGCAUCAUAUGUCACUUGGUAAAGAGCUCUAGAAGCAGCCAACAACGCCCCUGCAUUUGGAUCCUGCGAGGUGACACACUCAUAUAACUUCAUGCUAACAUCUGCCCAAAACCAGGGUUGAAAUAGGUCUUUUUCUUUUAAAGCUGGGUAAGUUUCUAAAUCCUUUUUUUGUACUUUUGCUGGGUGCUGGUUUACUAAGUGUUUUAUUUUCUGGAAAGCGUUUCUGUCUUUAGUGGAGAGAUUCCCUCCCAUUCUGGUCCCCUUUGAGAGCUCACCGAAUUUGGAGUUCAGCUAUCAGUCCUGAUUUACGUCUAUGCAGAGCAUGGGGUCCAAAUCCUCUGGCCACAAGGAAUUCAGAUGUCUGAUAGACCUGAAAGAUGCCUUCUUUUGCCUCCCUAUCCACAAUGCCAGUCGGAAAAUUUUUGCAUUCGAAUGGGAAACCCUUAAAAGCAGGCGCAAAACACAGCUCACAUGGUCCAUGUGCCUCAAGACUUCAAAAAUUCCCCCACUCUAUAUGGAGAACAACUUGCAAAGAUCCAGAGUCCUGGGAAGCUCCACAGGAAGAAAGAAGGCUAUUGCAGUACGUAGAUGAUCUUCUAGUAACCACUCAGACAAGGGACUCGUGUGUGGCCUGGACGGUAAGCCUUUCAAAUUUCCUAGGACUCCAAGGAUACAGAGUGUCAAAGAAAAAGGCACAGGUAGUGAAACAGAAAGUAAUCUACCUGGGGUACAAGGUCAGUGCUGGGCAACAGACAUGAGGGCAGGCUCGCAAAGAAGCCGUAUGCCAAACCCCAAAACCCCAAAUGACAAAGGAACUCCGAACCUUCUUAGGCAUUGCAGGGUGGUGCCGGCUGUGGGUUUAUAAUUAUGGACUGCUCGUCAGACCCCUCUAUGUUCUUAUUGCCAAUGGAAAUAGAGAUCUCCAGUAGAAAAAAGAAGCCACAUGGGCCUUUCACCUGCUAAAGAGUGCCCUCAUGUCAGCUCCAGCUUUGGGACUUCCAGAUGUAAGUAAACCAUUCUUUCUAUUUUCCCAUGAAAGACAGGGAAUUGCCCUGAGAAUACUGGCUCAGGACUUGGGUCCAUACUGGAGGGCACUUGCUUACUUCUCCAAGCAACUAGAUGCAACAGCCAAAGGAUGGCCAGGUUGCCUCAGAGCUAUAGCAGCAGUCGUGCUGAAUAUUCAAGAAGCACGCAAGUUUACCCUGGGACAGAAAAUGACUGUGCUGGUGUCUCACACAGUGUCCGCAGUACUGGCAGUAAAGGGCGGCCACUGGCUUUCACCACAGAGGUUCCUGAAGUAACAGGCCAUCAUGGUAGAACAAGAUGAUGUAGAGAUAGUAGCAACUAAUAUUGCCAACCCAGCUUCCUUUCUCAGUGGAAAUCAAGGAGAAGCAGUACAUCUCGAUUGCCUGGAGACCAUUGAAGCUACCUACUCCAGCCGCCCAGACUUAAAGGACACUCCUUUGGGCAAUGUAGAGACCUGGUUUACUGACGGGAGUAGCUACGUUGCCAGUGGAAAGCGACAUGCUGGUUACAGUGACUACAUUCAGAGAGGUAAUAGAAUCUGGACCCUUACCAACAGGCACCUCUGCACAGAAGGCCGAGAUAAUUGCACUGACCCGUUCCUUGGAAAUGGCAAAAAGAAAGAGAAUAAACAUCUAUACAGACCUGAGGUAUGCAUUCGGAGUCGUGCAUGCACAUAGAGCCAUCUGGAGGGAGAGGGAACUGCUGACCUCACAAAGAAAGAAGAGAUAAUCCAGCUGCUGGAAGCAGUUCAGCUGCCUGAAAAGGCAUAUUAAGGCACACCAGAGAGUAAGCUCAGAAUUGGAGGAAGGAAAUGAGCUGGUGGAUGGAGAGGCAAAGAAAGCAGCAAAAGGUGAGGUAAUUAUGGACAGAUUUCCCUUGAUGGUAAGCCAGAAUAUAAUAAUACUAAUCAAAAGGGACAUACAACCACAAGGGGUGGGCUACUGUGAGAGUCUGUCCGAAAUAUCCCUCAAUCUGCCUCACGACUGCCAUUGAGAGACCACUGAGAAGACCCCCUGUCCCAAGAUUUCUGGCCCUGCAGUGGAAAUUUCCAUGCCAGCCAAGGGCUCGAAGACCUGCAAGCAUUGCUAAGCUACUGUUACCACAGGUGUGUGUGUUUUGCUGCUGCAUGCUACACUGCACUCCAGGAGAAGACAAAAAACAUUCUGACCUUUUUGCAACAAUAGCUCUGGGAUUUUCUUCCCCCAAUUCUUGGCCUGGCUGGACUUCUCCUGAAUUUUGGAGGGUGGUCCCUCAAAGAAGACCCCUCUUGUUCAUUUACAACCACCGUGACAGACAAACCGAGAUGUAGGAAGCCACCUCACCAGAGAAAAAGCCGAGACAUGAAAUCCCCAUGUGAAAAGGCCUCCCUCACACUCCCCAAGGACUGGGACUGAAGCCCCCAGCCCGGGGGAGGUGCGCAGGGGAGGCAAGCUGACCAAAGCAAGAUGGAUGUUGCAGGUGCGGGCAUUGGACCACGAAAACAGUGGCCCUCGCCCACUGAGAUAUGGACUGUGUGUACCCUUUUUCCAAAUACCAUUCUUUUUACCAGAAGAUACAAUAGAUUCAGUUUCUAAAUAAUCCCCCUUCCCCCCAUUGAAAAAGUGUAUAAUUGGGGUCCAGAUGGACUGCAUCUCUGAGAUCUCCCCGGACGUGACCUGGUGAACCUCAUCGGCUGGACACCGAAGGACCUUCGCCAUUCCCACAUUUGGUAGCUAUAUACCCUUUUCUUUUUCCUCCCUCUUUUUCCUUAUUUUUUCCUUUUUUCCCCAAUUCCUCCCCAAUGCAUUUCUGCUGUGGUUAUUUCAAUAAAGUGCAUUGUGUUGAUUAUCACUGCAAACCCCUUGUACCGUGUCGGUUUUUUGCACCCUGAGAUCAAUCCAUGAACCAUCACAAAACCCAUUUGCAAGGACGGCUCGUGACAGCUACCAUUGAAAGGGAGCUGGUAAUCCCUUUCCAUUUUUGUGGUCACUAGUGAAGGAGAAGCACCAGAAAACACACUGGGGCCUAACUACUUAAAAGCUUUUAUAAAGUGUGGCUCCUUUCCCAGAAUGACCAAGGCUGCCAGUGUUACAGAACGCAUUGAAAUGAAGUGUUGACUUUUAAGGAGUAGUUUCCACAGGCUUUCUAGAACACAUAUCUGAUUGAAAGAAUCGUUGCCAGCAAUUUAUAUGCCACUAUUACUCAGGUAAACUGACAGUGUGAUCCUUGCCUCCAGACUAACCCCAUGAAUACCCCCAGACCAAAACUAGGUCAGAUUGGGAAGGGUCAUGGAUCUGGAGAGCAGUGGCAAAUUGACUUUUCAGAACUCCCAUGGAAAGGGGGGUGUCAGUAUUUAUGAGUAUUGACAAAUACAUUUUCAGGGUGGCCAGAAGCAUUCCCCACGAGAACUUUCAAGGCUUGAGAGGUGACCAGAGUAAACAGUACUGCUUUCGGAGUUUCAGCCACAAUAUCUAUAUGGCAGCUUUAAGUAGACAGCUCAGAGAAAAUGGAAAACAUGUGACUGGAACUUGGAGCAGGGAGCUAGAUGGACCAGUACAUAACAUACAGCCUGGAGAUGAUGUAUAUGUUAAGCCUCUUGCAGACAAAGACUUUGGAACCACAGUGGGAGGGACCGUUCCAGGUGCUUCUCACCACCUUUGCUGCAAUCAAGAUCAAGUGUGGCAUUGUGUGUUUUUAGAAUCAGUUAUUCCUUUUGUAACUCAAUAAUGGUUCGGUCCUCGGUUCCCCCUCCCCCCCCCCCCCCGUACUUCCCUCACAAUGGUUUCUCCCUAUUGGAGCUGCCCCCCCUCCCCUGCCUGUCAUGGUAACCACCCCGCUUAUCUCGAGAAUUCUCUGUGUCAGUCAUUCCUUAAUUUGAUGUAUGAUUUGCCCCUGUGGUUUUUCCCCUCCCCUGUGUGAUCCUCAGUGGCUUAGCUGUAACCCACGCUCCUCCCUGGGUCCUUGCUAUUGGUAAGCUUUGUGUCUCCUCCUAUCACACCCACUCCCUUUAUCAGCGUCCCCCAGGGACCCUGUCUUUGUCGCCUGUCCCUGAACCCACCAGGGAAGAACAUUAAAAGAUCCUUGGUACUUAUACAGGCGUCCCUCCUCCUUCCUUUGCUUUGGUACCUCGUAGCCGAAGAUCCCGCCUGCGCCACCCACGCCGCAGAUGGUAACCACUACCAGGGUUCCGGAGGGGAUCUGGGAGUGGCACUUUGUGUGGCCAUCUUUGGCCGGGCCGUGGGCACCCGCACAGCCCCGUGGUCGCUGGAGAGAGGCUACAAUCAAGGAGCAGAAUGCCUGGAUUCAGCACUCUUGAGUGAAGAAGGCCCCAGAAGCCCCUUUGGAGAGUGACAUCAGGAGACAAUGAACUGAGACUAAAACUUACUCAGGCAAAAUGAGUAUAUUGCGGCCGGGGGUAGUUUGUAAUUUCAUUUACAGAAUUGUUUUGUAUAUAAUUAUAACUGGCAUCUUAGAAUUAGAGAGUACCUCUAUUCAAAGUGAUACUGAAUGGCCUUGGUCCCAGGCUUUUAAUCGGUAUACUGGAUCCAUGGGAGAACCUUCUGAGGUAAAAAAUUUAAACCUAUCCACUGUAGUAAUCCACAGGAAUCAGGUAUAUGAGGAGCUGGAGUUGUAGGAACAGGAACUGUGUACACUUUGAGGGAUCAGAGGAGAAGAAAUCAAGGUAGAGUGCUAGGUGGUCAAUGGGAUGGCUCAUGAGAGACCAGAUGCAAUUAGUGUCUCAACCUCUCUUGUAUACAGGCACCAGGAAGUUUGUGAUAGCCCAAGCGAAUCAGACUGUUGCUGUAAUUUCACCUUAAUACAGUCUGUAGAAGUGACUUGUCUUUGGGAUCAUUAUGCUAUUGGGCUCUCAUUUAAAUUUAAAAUAGAUAUUACACUUUUUACAAUGGCAGGACCUUAUACAUCUCACACCAGUACUCAAGCAGUUCAGACCCAACCCAAACUUGAACCUAAAGUGUAUUAAAUAAGCCCAUACGUAGUGAGGAAUAUGGGUGAACAACAACUGUUGUUCAAUCCAAAGUAGUCUCACAAAUGUGUUGAAUGGCUAAUGCAAAUUAACAUCUCAAAAAUCCAACCAGCCUGCUCCUCUUUCCUAAGAACAUCCUUUGAGGGCUGGACAAUGUGGUUACAAAGACAGGUAUACCUCAAGAGCAGAAUAAGAAAAGAUCUAACUGGGAUAUUAGGGACAGGACUGAGAGUUUUAAAUGGAAUUGAUUCAGAAAUACUGAUGAAUAAGCUGGCCACUACAACAAGUGGCCUAGCAAAAUUGAAACAGCCUUUACAGUCAUCUCUAUUAGCAUUAGGAACUAGCCAGUGGCAGAUUUCAAAAGUACUGCCAAAGUAGGAAAAGGCUGAGGACCAAGACCACAAGUUAAUCGUAGAAGUGCUUGGUACAGUUCAAGAUAAUGUGUCUUUAGCUUUCAGUUGUAUUCAAGCACAGUUAUGGAUGCAGGCUGUAGGUGAGACUGGGGGUUAGCACGGUCGGGACGGACGGAGACGAGAGAUCUCUGAAGCCAAGUCGUGGAACUUGCGGUUUAUUGCGAAGGGUGUGGGUACAGGGCCCUGCUGGGAGCUGCCAGCUGCAGCUCGGAGCAGGCCCGAGAGAAGAGAGAGAAUGAGAGGGUAAUAACGUAAAAGGCAAGAGCUAAGAGCAUAGAAAAGUGAGAGCAAGAGUAAGAGUAAGGGCGCAAGAGUAAAAGCAAGAGCAAGAGAACAAGAGCAAAAGCAAGAGAGUGAAGUUCCCGUUACAAUACAUCAUCUUCUGUGUUGAAUAUUCUGAUUCUCACUAACCAAUCUAGUACAACAUACAAAUCCUAUAGCAUUUACAUACAGCCUAUAAGAAUCACUACAUUACCAUAUUGUGCUACAUUUUAAACCCUAAAAACUACUCUUCGGACCCCUUCUGCCAAGCUGGCAGGGUCUGCUCUGACCCUUGGACCUGCCUGCUUGCAGAGGGUAUUGUUUCAUCAAAAGGGGAUUACCUUCAGCCGGCCACACCAUUGUUUUCCUGUUGUUCAGUAACUAAGGGAUGUCAAAGCUUGCUUUCAUUUCAAUCUCGCUUAUAGUUUCUAUAUUCUCAAAAUCUUUUGCCAGGCAAUCAUAUUUGUAAGGCUUUCCUGUUUCAUCUUCCCCAACAGCAGGCAACAGCAGCUUUGAUCAUACGGGAAAGGGGUGAAGGUGAUUUUCCAGCUGAAAUUUGGAAGGUUGUCUGAGAUAAUGUGAUUGAUUUUGGAAGGAAGUUUCAAUCCUGGUGGACUACGGUAAAUUUCCCCUAUGAUCCUGCUUCUAAUGUGGCCACUGCCUUUGUGCUUACUAUACGUAAUGCCACUGUUUAUGUUAUCCACCCCAUCAUUGCACUCGGAUUAAAUUAUAAAAAAACAGUGCUUUACCCUUCAAACAUUAAGUGUGAGCAUGAAAGGUGAAUGAAAAGUAGCAAACAGUAAACUUAGAAUCCUGUAGUACUAGAGAACAGCUAGGAUUCAUUUGUGAAAGCAAUACUAUUAAUGCUCAAGAUGUUUGUCUAGACACUGAACUUUGUAUUUGCCACUUAGAGAUUCAUCCAGUCACUGAUCAAAAGACUGUGCUUGUAUAUACUGGUAAAGGGUGUGUGUGCUUGAGAACUGCUUGUGCUAAUGUAAAAAUUGAUAACAACUAUGUUAUUUUGUCUAGCAGAAAUCAUUCUAAUUUUUGUAUUUGUAAUUUUGUUAAGAUUAGCGAGUGUGAUUUUUCGUACGUGGCCCCGGUGACAUCCCACCAGUUGAUUAAAACCAAUUACACAAUGUAUCACAGACUGUCACCUACUCCUAUUGGAAUAGACCUCACAUUAGUAAAACAAAUAAUUAAACACCAAAGACCUACUGGAGAUCUUGAAGAAAACCCAAGAAAGCAGAGAGAAAACCCUAAUUACUGUCCAACAUGAUACAAAAGAAAUAACCAGAAUUCUGCAAAGAAUAAAACAAAAUGCAGAUCAUCACUAGUGGGAUGUAAUCUUUGGAUGGUCACCAACUGCAAAUGGAAUCUUUAAUAAGCUUGUGUCAUCCUAUUGUAGUUUUGUUAAUAUUAGUUGGAGUAAGUUUAGGGUUAUCCUUUUUAUUGUUAAUUUGGAAUUGGAGAAUGCUACAGCGAGUAUGCAUAUGUAUAUGUAUUUGAUAGGGAGAUAAAAGGAGAUCUGGAGUUCCCAGAGGUAUGCAUGUCAUUUUAGGGGAACGAUCCCCACAUGCGUCCAGCGCUGUUAUAAACAUACCGGCUUUACAACUUUCACAAAAGUUGUGGAGUUUUGUUUGUUUCCGCAAAACAUUGGGACCUAAGAAUUUAUCUAAUUGUUCAGCUGUACCUAUGGGAUCUUCCAAUAAUCUGUAAUUUCCUUUUUAAAAUUUCUGAUUCCUGACUUCUGAAGAAGUCAGGGGGAAGUUUACAAAUCCUGCCUCCCCUUGGACUCCACCUAUUGGUACUUCUUGUAAUGGAAAUAAACUAACCUCUUGAUCCCAA
This is a long non-coding RNA of Haemorhous mexicanus (house finch), 7856 nucleotides long. RefSeq lists it as uncharacterized. NCBI's taxonomy places the organism in Eukaryota, Metazoa, Chordata, Aves, Passeriformes, Fringillidae. The transcript is spliced from 2 exons. The record is from RefSeq and is a predicted model, not a curated record.